Molecule: ribosomal RNA, 253 nt
Filed under: uncultured bacterium
Lineage: Bacteria
Description: partial 16S ribosomal RNA
Rfam family: Bacterial small subunit ribosomal RNA
Source: RNAcentral
UACGUAGGGGGCUAGCGUUGUCCGGAUUUAUUGGGCGUAAAGAGCGUGUAGGCGGCCAGGUAGGUCUGCUGUGAAAACCUGGGGCUUAACCCCGGGCCUGCAGUGGGUACGGGCAGACUAGAGUGCGGUAGGGGAGACUGGAAUUCCUGGUGUAGCGGUGAAAUGCGCAGAUGUCAGGAGGAACACCGGUGGCGAAGGCGGGAUCCUGGGCCAGUACUGACGCUGAGGAGCGAAAGCGUGGGGAGCAAACAGG